GCCUGGGUGGCUCAGUCGAUUAAGCAUCUGAUUUCGGCUCAGGUCAUCAUCUCACAGUCCGUGGGUUCGAGCCCCGCGUCAGGCU
RNAcentral lists this transfer RNA (85 nucleotides) under Felis catus (domestic cat). It matches the Rfam family "tRNA". Rfam says of the family: Transfer RNA (tRNA) molecules are approximately 80 nucleotides in length. Their secondary structure includes four short double-helical elements and three loops (D, anti-codon, and T loops). Lineage: Eukaryota; Metazoa; Chordata; Mammalia; Carnivora; Felidae. The record is from Rfam by way of RNAcentral.